This is a long non-coding RNA of Oncorhynchus keta (chum salmon), 1436 nucleotides long. RefSeq lists it as uncharacterized. The transcript is spliced from 4 exons. The record is from RefSeq and is a predicted model, not a curated record. Lineage: Eukaryota; Metazoa; Chordata; Actinopteri; Salmoniformes; Salmonidae.
UUAAGCCAUUAAAAGUGCUAGAUGGUUUUAGACUAGUUGAAGGAUGGUAGGCCUACUCCUUUAUGUGGGUUGGUUUACCACAUAAACUGAAUAUAUUCACUUUUAAAUCACUUAAGAUAAAAAUUAAAGUGUCUGAUAAAUGUCCAUAUUACUCUACAACGGCCUCUCUCCUGUGAUUAGGGGUACAUCGGGUCCCAGUGAACAAUGCAGGAUCUAAUAGUUGGGAUAGUUGGGAUAGGUAAUAGUUGGGUUAGGUAAUAGUUGGGUUAGGUAAUAGUUGGGUUAGGUAAUAGUUGGGAUAGGUAAUAGUUGGGUUAGGUAAUAUUUAGGUAAUAGUUGGGUUAGGUAAUAUUUAGGUAAUAGUUGGGUUAGGUAAUAUUUAGGUAAUAGUUGGGAUAGGUAAUAUUUAGGUAAUAGUUGGGAUAGGUAAUAGUUGGGAUAGGUAAUAUUUAGGUAAUAGUUGGGAUAGGUAAUAUUUAGGUAAUAGUUGGGUUAGGUAAUAGUUGGGUUAGGUAAUAGUUGGGUUAGGUAAUAUUUAGGUAAUAGUUGGGAUAGGUAAUAUUUAGGUAAUAGUUGGGUUAGGUAAUAGUUGGGUUAGGUAAUAGUUGGGUUAGGUAAUAUUUAGGUAAUAGUUGGGAUAGGUAAUAUUUAGGUAAUAGUUGGGAUAGGUAAUAGUUGGGUUAGGUAAUAGUUGGGUUAGGUAAUAUUUAGGUAAUAGUUGGGUUAGGUAAUAUUUAGGUAAUAGUUGGGUUAGGUAAUAGUUGGGAUAGGUAAUAGUUGGGUUAGGUAAUAGUUGGGUUAGGUAAUAGUUGGGAUAGGUAAUAGUUGGGAUAGGUAAUAGUUGGGUUAGGUAAUAGUUGGGUUAGGUAAUAGUUGGGAUAGGUAAUAUUUAGGUAAUAGUUGGGUUAGGUAAUAUUUAGGUAAUAGUUGGGUUAGGUAAUAGUUGGGAUAGGUAAUAGUUGGGUUAGGUAAUAUUUAGGUAAUAGUUGGGUUAGGUAAUAUUUAGGUAAUAGUUGGGAUAGGUAAUAGUUGGGUUAGGUAAUAGUUGGGAUAGGUAAUAGUUGGGUUAGGUAAUACUUGGGUUAGGUAAUAUUUAGGUAAUAGUUGGGUUAGGUAAUAUUUAGGUAAUAGUUGGGUUAGGUAAUAGUUGGGAUAGGUAAUAGUUGGGUUAGGUAAUAGUUGGGAUAGGUAAUAGUUGGGUUAGGUAAUAUUUAGGUAAUAGUUGGGUUAGGUAAUAUUUAGGUAAUAGUUGGGUUAGGUAAUAGUUGGGAUAGGUAAUAGUUGGGUUAGGUAAUAGUUGGGAUAGGUAAUAGUUGGGAUAGGUAAUAGUUGGGUUAGGUAAUAGUUGGGUUAGGUAAUAUUUAGGUAAUAGUUGGGAUAGGUAAUAGUUGGGAUAGGUAAUAGUUGGGUUAGGUAAUAUUUAGGUAAUAGUUGGG